RNAcentral lists this unclassified non-coding RNA (353 nucleotides) under soil metagenome. RNAcentral describes it as "partial contains 5.8S ribosomal RNA, internal transcribed spacer 2, and large subunit ribosomal RNA". The stretch from base 1 to 120 matches the Rfam family "5.8S ribosomal RNA", at positions 35 to 154 of the family's 154-position model. The record is from RNAcentral.
GAUGAAGAACGUAGUGAAAUGCGAUACGUAAUGUGAAUUGCAGAAUUCAGUGAAUCAUCGAAUCUUUGAACGCACAUUGCGCCCGCCAGUAUUCUGGCGGGCAUGCCUGUCCGAGCGUCAUUUCAACCCUCGAACCCCUCCGGGGGGUCGGCGUUGGGGAUCGGCCCUUUCACCGGGUGCCGGCCCCUAAAUACAGUGGCGGUCUCGCCGCAGCCUCUCAUGCGCAGUAGUUUGCACACUCGCACCGGGAGCGCGGCGCGUCCACGUCCGUAAAACACCCCAAACUUCUGAAAUGUUGACCUCGGAUCAGGUAGGAAUACCCGCUGAACUUAAGCAUAUCAAUAAGCGGAGGA